UAACAAGCAGGAAAUGUCCAUGGGCCAAUGACAUGACCACAUUGAAAUGCUGUAUAGUUAGUAAUGCAGAGGUUCUGUGUUGGGUUAGGAUUCACUGUAUUAACAGACCAUUAUCUAACACUACUAGUUUAUUACUACUAGUUUAAUACUAACUACUAGUUAGCUGUUUAUUAGUAGUUAAUAAUGCAGAGGUUAGGUGUUGGGUAGGAUUAUGUAUGUAAAAUAAGAUUAUACUUUAUAGCUACUAUUAUGAACAGUUCAUAUUUUAGUAAUAUGCAGGUAAUAAUCCAUUAGUAAAUGGCAUGAAUUGUGACGUAACCUAAAGUGUUACUAUUAAAAUUAGCUAAUACAACUUAUACAACUAUUUGAUGCUAUUAAUGGAGUGUGUUAGUAAACAUUGAACUCGAUUUUCUCUUCUUUUUGCCAUUGCUCAUGGUGUAAGCCUACAGUAAACAGUCAGUAAUAGACAGAAACUCUUUGUUUUUUCCACAUAAAUCGGCUUUUGUUCUGUUUAAUCAAAUGGAACUCUUGAAAAUGAUUAAUUAUAUUGGAAACCAUCAGCUUAAAAGGCGAGCGCUGGCCGUCUGACUCUAUCCUCAGAGCUGUGGCGUAGCAUAUGCUUAAUAAAAUGUGGCAGAUCACGUGA
Danio rerio (zebrafish) is the source of this 646-nucleotide non-coding RNA. NCBI's taxonomy places the organism in Eukaryota, Metazoa, Chordata, Actinopteri, Cypriniformes, Danionidae. The record is from RefSeq and is a predicted model, not a curated record.